RNAcentral lists this ribosomal RNA (608 nucleotides) under uncultured Desulfobacteraceae bacterium. Its description in RNAcentral is "bacterial SSU rRNA". It matches the Rfam family "Bacterial small subunit ribosomal RNA", at positions 228 to 828 of the family's 1533-position model. The record is from RNAcentral. Lineage: Bacteria; Pseudomonadati; Thermodesulfobacteriota; Desulfobacteria; Desulfobacterales; Desulfobacteraceae.
AGCCCGCGUACCAUUAGCUUGUUGGUAGGGUAAUGGCCUACCAAGGCAACGAUGGUUAGCUGGUGUGAGAGGAUGAUCAGCCACCCCGGAACUGACACACGGUCCAGACUCCUACGGGAGGCAGCAGUGAGGAAUUUUGCGCAAUGGGGGAAACCCUGACGCAGCAACGCCGCGUGAGUGAUGAAGGCUUUCGGGUCGUAAAGCUCUGUCAAGUGGGAAGAACCCACAUGGUGUUAAUUCCACCUUGUGCUGACGGUACCACUGAAGGAAGCCCCGGCUAACUCCGUGCCAGCAGCCGCGGUAAUACGGGGGGUGCAAGCGUUAUUCGGAAUUACUGGGCGUAAAGAGCGCGUAGGCGGUCUCUUAAGUCAGGUGUGAAAGCCCGGGGCUCAACCCCGGAAGUGCACUUGAAACUAAGGGACUUGAGUAUGGGAGAGGGAAGUGGAAUUCCUGGUGUAGCGGUGAAAUGCGUAGAUAUCAGGAGGAACAUCGGUGGCGAAGGCGACUUCCUGGACCAAUACUGACGCUGAGGCGCGAAGGCGUGGGGAGCAAACAGGAUUAGAUACCCUGGUAGUCCACGCAGUAAACGGUAACACUAGGUGUAGCGG